GAGAGGUACAUUAAAGAGCUGCUAACUCUUUUUUAGUUGAAUACUGCCUGAGA
Molecule: transfer RNA, 53 nt
Filed under: Calisoga longitarsis
Lineage: Eukaryota; Metazoa; Arthropoda; Arachnida; Araneae; Nemesiidae
Description: tRNA-Ser
Source: RNAcentral